This 534-nucleotide ribosomal RNA is filed under the name Metalpheus rostratipes. Its description in RNAcentral is "partial large subunit ribosomal RNA". It matches the Rfam family "Bacterial large subunit ribosomal RNA", at positions 1827 to 2625 of the family's 2925-position model. The record is from RNAcentral. Lineage: Eukaryota; Metazoa; Arthropoda; Malacostraca; Decapoda; Alpheidae.
GUCCUUCUGCUGGGUGUAUAAGGUCUGGCCUGCCCACUGAGUGUUAAAGGGCCGCGGUAUUUUGACCGUGCGAAGGUAGCAUAGUCAAUAGUCCUUUAAUUGGGGGCUAGAAUGAAUGGUCGGACAUGAAGAAAUCUGUCUCAAGGAGUAUUAAUGAAGUUGACCUUCAUGUGAAAAGGCAUGGAUAGUCCGGGGGGACGAUAAGACCCUAUAAAACUUAAUGGAUAAAAUGGGACCUUUAACCUGGUAGUGAAGGGGGUUCUGUGGGUUACAUUGCGCUGGGGCGGCGGAAAUAUAAAGUCUAGCUGUUUUUGGUUAUGAAAUGAUUAUAAUCAGAUUUUGACCCUGAGAGUUCGGGUUAAAAGUUGAAGUUACUUUAGGGAUAACAGCGUUAUUUCUCUUGAGAGUUCAUAUCGACAGGGAUGUUUGCGACCUCGAUGUUGAAUUAAAGUUUCCCCCAGGGGUAGGAGUUUGGGUGGUAGGUCUGUUCGACCUUUAACAGCUUUACAUGAUUUGAGUUCAAACCGGUGUGAG